GGUACAACUCUCGGCAAUGGAUAUCUCAGCUCUCACAUCGAUGAAGAAUGUAGUGAAAAGCGAUAAGUGGUGCGAAUUGCAGAAUCUCGUGAACCAUCGAGUCUUUGAACGCAAGUUGCACCUGAGGCCAUCCGAUCGAGGGCACGCCUGCUCGGGCGUCGAGC
Molecule: ribosomal RNA, 164 nt
Filed under: Plectocomia elongata
Lineage: Eukaryota; Viridiplantae; Streptophyta; Magnoliopsida; Arecales; Arecaceae
Description: 5.8S ribosomal RNA
Rfam family: 5.8S ribosomal RNA
About the family: 5.8S ribosomal RNA (5.8S rRNA) is a component of the large subunit of the eukaryotic ribosome. It is transcribed by RNA polymerase I as part of the 45S precursor that also contains 18S and 28S rRNA.
Source: RNAcentral